Molecule: ribosomal RNA, 376 nt
Filed under: uncultured organism
Description: partial 16S ribosomal RNA
Rfam family: Bacterial small subunit ribosomal RNA
Source: RNAcentral
GAACCGUACGAACGUUAUUCGGGAAUCACUGGGGCUUAAAGGGUGCGCAGGCGGCCUGGCAAGUUGGGGUGUGAAAUCCCUCGGGCUCAACCGAGGAACUGCGCCCAAAACUGCCAGACUUGAGGAAGACAGAGGUGAGCGGAACUCAGGGUGGAGCGGUGAAAUGCGUUGAUAUCCUGGGGAACACCAGUAGCGAAGGCGGCUCACUGGGUCUUUCCUGACGCUCAGGCACGAAAGCUAGGGGAGCGAACGGGAUUGGAUACCCCGGUAGUCCUAGCUGUAAACGAUGAGCACUGGGUUGGAGGGUCCUCCAUAGCUUUCCAGCCGUAGCGAAAGUGUUAAGUGCUCCGCCUGGGGAGUAUGGUCGCAAAGGCUG